UUAAUUAUGCAGCGGAAAUAUUUUCUUAACAUUAAAUAAUCACCACAUCCAACAUGUUAAUUCUCCAAUAAAGUUUUGGCAUAAAAGCCUCAACAACAUAAUUCAACAAUCAAAUAGGGCUACACAUCAAGUUCCAAAAUUUAAUACAUAGGAAUGAAAGUAACAUUAAAAUCCCAUCCCACGUAUCAGAGCCCUAGACACUUUGAGCCACCACCUACUACUCAGGAUCACCUGCAAGUUACCCAUAGGAAUGACAACAUUUUCAAGCAGAAGGGGUGAGAUUCACAAACAAUAAUAAUAAUAAUAUAUAAUAACAUCAAUUGAAUCUAACACCCUAAAAUAUCAAUGAUUAUUCAAUAUGCAUAAGUAUUUCAUAAUCAACAACAUCAUCAAAAUAUAACAAUUCGACCAACAACAACGACUCAUGUAAUGCCAUGACAACACCUCUAAGACUCCUCGACAAAUGCAACUAUGCAUGUGGUACCAUAUUCAGGGCCGAAGCCCUCCCGCUAAUGAAUGGUUAAAGCAUUCAUUUUCAGGACAUAAGUCCUCACCGCUAAACACCGCUUUGAACAACUAGUGUUCCACCGCUUUGAACGACAAGGCGUUCCAGAGCCGAAGCUCUCCCACUUUUAUGCUUAUGCAACUGACCCACUUGUAUAUAUCUACAUACAACUCAACUAAUGCAUAUAUAUAUAUAUAUAUAUAUAUAUAUAUAUAUAUAUAUAUAUAUAUAUAUAUGACAUACGACUUCAUAGUUAAACAACUUCAUCACAACCAGUCCAACAUCAGAAAAAUGUAUAAUUAAUAACAAUCAUACUAAUACAUCAAGUUCAUUCUACAUAAUAUAUUUUCACUUGGUUUCAUACUCACUCCAAUCCAAAAUUCAUUAAAUUAUACCAACUCGGUUAACAAUGUGUUUAGUAGGAUUCAGGGUAUAUAUAAUGGUCUUACACGUUGAAAGGAACAUUUAGAAAUACUCAAAAGGAUCCCCUAGUGCACGAGGCAAAGUUCAAAAGUGGCUGACAAAGGUCAUCUUCGCUUAAGCGACGACCAGUUUGCUUAAGCGACCAGCUCACAGAAAGUUGGGGUUCCGCUCGCUGACGGUUCGCUUGAGCGAACUUCUGGUAGAAUGAAAAUGAUUUUUCACUUAUGGUGCGCUUGAGCGAACUCUUGGCAGAAUCAAAUUAAAUUUUCGCUCACUGUUCGCUUAAGCGAACUGACAAAAUCGCAUUUUGGGCAGCUUGCUUGAAUGCUCGCUUAAGUGACGGGUCGUUCGCUUAAGCGACCAUUCAUCUGGGCAGUGCAAAAACCUACGGGUUCAACCUCUUCUCACUCCAAAAACUCAAUUUUAAUCCCCUGAUCACCCUAAAUGUUUUCCAGCAGAUGUUUACAGGUCCUAUACACAACUAGACAUCUAAAGGAACACAAAUCAGGCAUCAACAACAACAAUUCAGAUCAUUCUAGCAAUCAUACAAAACUUCUCCAAUUUAUCCAACAGAUUCUAAUUUCAUUCAAAUUCUGAUCACAACAACAUUAUAGAUUAAGAAAUCAUUCUGAACACCAAAUUACAACACAUUAAACAUGAUUCUUACACCAUUCCUUUCAGAAUCAGCAUCAACCCUAAUUCCCAAUUUUUAUCUCAAGAACAAUUCAUGUUAAAACAAUUUUCAGAAAUUAUAUACUAUGAUUAUUGAGAGAUAGUCUCACCCUUACCUUAGAUUUGCAGAAAGAUUGCACAGCAAAAUCGGUUCCUAGGCUCUUCUCUCUUGUUCUUGGUUUUCCUCUCCAAAACUUGUUUAACGUAAAAACUGAUUCUGACUCUUUCUUUUCCUAACUCCCAAAACUAUAACUCCCCCUUUAUUUCAUUAAACUCCCUUAAUUUUUAUUAAAUCCUAAUUAACUCCCCAAUCUCCAAAAUAAUAUUAAUUCACACAUUAUUCUAAUUAUAUUAAAAUAAACUAUAUAAUAAAAUAAUGCACACCAUAUAAUUCAACAAAUACCAUUUUAAAUCAUACAAAUGACUCUAAAUAAUUAAAAUAAAUAAAUUAACGACUAGGGCGUUACACGACCAGAAGGUGCAACUUGACAAAUGGAUUAGGUUAUCACGUCCCAACAAACUCAUUACUUAGAUAGUCUACUUAGAAUAACUGAACGCGACUUGAUUGUUAAUUAACAUUAUGCAACCAAACAACUAACUUUGCUCUGUUACAAACAGAUUAACUUUGCAAACUCUAAACCCUUAACUCAUUUAUAUUAUUUUGUUCUCAAAUAAGUAACACAAAUUGCUUAGACGAAACGAUAAUCCCUAUGAAUACGAUACUCUACUUAUCAUUUUAUUAUUUGGUAAACGAUUUGAUAUACUUGCCUAAUCCAACCAUCAUACCCACCUUAAUGUUAGGAUAUAAAAUUUAUAUUUUGAAAUACUCUUAUUCAAUUACUGCUUGUGAAUUAUAAUUUUAAAUUCUUGUGUACUUCCCAUGAGUUAGGUUACUUACUUAGAUUUUACCUUUGAAAGUUGUAAAACUCAAUCAUUUAUCUCUUCUAUUGAGCUAUAUAACUCAAUCCUUAUUUUCUUAUAUUAUAUAUCAAACACCUAGAUAAACAUAUUCACAUUAUUCCAAAGAAAACAGUUUUAACAAUUUCAUAAUAUAUUUAAUAUGCUUCUCCUUUAUAGGUUUUUGGAAUUUUUUGUCGGUUGGAGUACCCCUCGUACAUUUUAACAGUUGAACACACACACAUUUACGUUAAGAGAGAUAUAUAUAUAUAUAUUGACACACACUCAAUUGAAGGUGUAAGAAAAUGCAAGGUUAUCAAGUUCAGAUAAUACGAAAGUGUAAGAAAAACCAUAAGAGUAGCAACAUUAUGAUGAGAAAAAGAAACUGAAAGGUUUAUAUUAAUAAGAGAAAUAUGAUUUUACCUUAACUACAUAUCCAAUCUGCAACGACCUUUAACGCACCUCACUUUUCCCCAAGGAAUAAACGGAUAUUUUUUAUAACAAUCACUAGUUUGUGUGCAUUCUCCUGUAAUGUAAAAUAAGAAUGACAAAAUAUUACUAAAAUUGGAUUAAAGUUUGUGUAUCAAAUAAGCAACAAAAUGAGAAUGAGAAUAAUAACUGUUAAUAUUCUUUACGCCAUCGGCUACAACAAGACAUAGGGAAACAAAAAGGAUCUAAAUAUAUACAAACUUAAGAGUUUCAUCCAUUUUUUUUUACCUUUUCAUAUGUAACAAAUAUAAAAUGGUUUGAUCAUAUUAUAUAGUAACAAACCUCUUUGUAUGUUUACACUAUAACAUGUUUUUAUUUUUAUUUUUAUAAUUAUGUCGUUGUAAGAAAUCCUUUUUUUAAUUAGAAUAAUUAUUAAAUAUCUCUAAAGUACAUUGAUGAAUCAUAUUUGUCGCUUUGGCUAUAAUUAAAGUUCAUUCUUGUUUAGAAACCUUUCAUUAGUUAUUUUAUUUAUUAUCUAGCCUUUCAUAAUAAAGAAUAGAUAGAUUAUUGAUGACAUGUCAUCUUACGUAAGCAUUUUUACAAACAUUUUUAUUUAGUUUUGAUCCAAGUUACAGGAGUUUUAGAGCAAUUGCCUAUGGUUUUUGGGACAUUUUUUAAUGUUUUCAUUUCGAAUCAUGUAAUUAUAACAAUCACUAGUUUGUGUGCAUUCUCCUGUAAUGUAAAAUAAGAAUGACGAAAUAUUACUAAAAUUGGAUUAAAGUUUGUGUAUCAAAUAAGCAACAAAAUGAGAAUGAGAAUAAUAACUGUUAAUAUUCUUUACGCCAUCGGCUACAACAAGACAUAGGGAAACAAAAAGGAUCAAAAUAUAUACAAACUUAAGAGUUUCAUCCAUUUUUUUUUACCUUUUCAUAUGUAACAAAUAUAAAAUGGUUUGAUCAUAUUAUAUAGUAACAAACCUCUUUGUAUGUUUACACCAUAACAUGUUUUUAUUUUUAUUUUUAUAAUUAUGUCGUUGUAAGAAAUCCUUUUUUUAAUUAGAAUAAUUAUUAAAUAUCUCUAAAGUACAUUGAUGAAUCAUAUUUGUCGCUUUGGCUAUAAUUAAAGUUCAUUCUUGUUUAGAAACCUUUCAUUAGUUAUUUUAUUUAUUAUCUAGCCUUUCAUAAUAAAGAAUAGAUAGAUUAUUGAUGACAUGUCAUCUUACGUAAGCAUUUUUACAAACAUUUUUAUUUAGUUUUGAUCCAAGUUACAGGAGUUUUAGAGCAAUUGCCUAUGGUUUUUGGGACAUUUUUUAAUGUUUUCAUUUCGAAUCAUGUAAUUAUAGUUUUCUCGAAACGAAGCAGUUCUAGGGUGUUUUUGAUGUAAUUCAAGGAAAAAUCAUGCAAAACGGCAAAACAAAAUAUCUAUGAGGAUUUAGGAAGGCAAUGGAUGGUGAUUCAAGAGGUCUCGAAAGACAUCACAAGAAGGAGGAAUUCUGUUCCAAGUCCCAAGCGAAGAAACAAGCGAUUACAUGCGAGAAAUUGCACUAUUGCACCCCUAGGUGUGAACCAUGCGUUUCGGGCACGCAGAAAAACACUCAUGCGCCCCUAGGUGGUUUUCAUGCACCCAUGCACACAAAAUAACAUCUAGGCACCCUUUGGGUGUGGUAUGAGCGCCCCAGGCAUGUUAGUUUCGGAAAAUAAUUGAUUUUUGCGCACCUAGAAUUAGGGAAAUUGUCUUAACAAGGAACAUUGUGACUGAACCGGCGCACCUAGAAUAGUAGAAUUACCCUUUUAUCCUUGGUAAGAUAGACAAGAUAGGGUUGCCUGUUUGUAGAACUACCAAGAGGAAGAGUAUGCUGAUGUACUUCUAAGAUUAAUAGAUGAGGGAACCUUUAGGAUAAAUUCAGGAACUCUAAUUUAUAUCUAUUUUUUUUUUUUUGAUUAAAGACUAUAUUUCAUUAAGAAAUUAAAUCAUCAAAAUAUAGAUUUUGGGCUUGGGCUGGGACAUUUUCCAGCCAAACCUGAUUAGGUGUUGUGGUUGCCAUAUGGGCCAAGCAAUGGGCCACAACGUUACCACUUCUAUUUACAUGAGUAAACCUAAUUUAUAUCUAUGCUUAAAUUACCUUUGAGAGUAAGACUCCACACUACAAACUAGGAGUGCGUACAAAACUACUUCAGGAUUGACGACCCUACAAUCGUAAAACGCCUUAACCCACGUGUGAAUCUGGUGCAACCCAACAAUUGGAGAGGAUAAAACCCCACAAACUCAUGACUUAAGAGGGUACUAUUUAACCAAUCCAUGAAUAGUUUGGUUGUUACUUAGUUCCAACAAAUAAAUAGAGGGGAUUCGAAGAAUCCUAACCACUGCUAAUAUUUUGCAAUAAAAAACAUGUUACUUCUAAACUCUUGCUCUAAGCAAACAGGUCAAAUUGCACAAACUCUCCAUUUAUCUUUUAUUUAAUGGUUUAUUUACUUUUAAAUAAGUAACGCGAAUUGCCUAGUUAGAACGAGAAUUCAUGUAGAUACGAUACUCUACUUAUCACUUUAUUACUUUGUAAAUGAUUUGGUACAUUUUGCCUAAAUCCAACCAUCAAUUAUACUUAGUUCGUAUUAAAGAAUUUAGGCUUACUUUUCUUGAACAAGGUAGUGUUCAAAUCUUGUGGUUGGAAGGGAAGACCCAUUAAAGAGGACCAAACAUAUUCUCAAGUUAAGAUUAACAAUUGAUAACCAAUGAAAACUUUUCACCUAUACCACAGUGAAGAAAAAAGACAAGAAAAAUCACAAAAGAGAAAUGAUAGUGUUGAGCUGUGAAAAUAUUAAUCAUAGAAUUAAUACAUCAAUUAGAUGGUAGUAACUUUAUGUAUGAAUUUAAAUAUUGAUAACUCCAAUAGAAGCAUGCUGUUAUUUUCU
Molecule: long non-coding RNA, 5835 nt
Filed under: Medicago truncatula (barrel medic)
Lineage: Eukaryota; Viridiplantae; Streptophyta; Magnoliopsida; Fabales; Fabaceae
Description: lncRNA gene40437
Source: RNAcentral